Non-coding RNA from Meleagris gallopavo (turkey), 1729 nucleotides. NCBI's taxonomy places the organism in Eukaryota, Metazoa, Chordata, Aves, Galliformes, Phasianidae. The record is from RefSeq and is a predicted model, not a curated record.
CAGAAAGCAGAAAAAUGCAGUUCAGUAGUCAGCACAAAGUUUUAUCAAACAACAGCUUCUUAAGAGAAUACUGGAGAUCUCUUAAAAUUCAAAUAAAAUAAUAAGUUUUGCUUUUAUUAACUAAAACCAACAUAUAUCCCUAUUUGAAAAGGGGAACUGCACCUUUGGUAAGUACCCUUAAAAUCAGGCAACCCAUAAUAGUCUUUCAAAUCAACUCUUUUCUUGGGAGCACAGCUUACUUGGUUUUCAAGUUAGCAAGAUCUGCUGUUCAAGUUUGUAAGUCAGCUGAGAAAGAUGAGUAAAACCCAUCACUUUGUUUUUACUUCAGCUGUGAAAUUAACAGUAAAGUAUGCCAUAUUCUGCUCCAAUACAUGACAACGAUCCACAUGACUGAAAAUACUCAUCCUAGAGUCUGACUUAAAAAAAGAAAAAAAGGCAACAAAAAACACAAAACCCCCGAAACAACACCCCUCCCAGACAGGCUGUUCUGUUGCCAUUGCAGUGCUGCAUUACGUCACAGUAACAGAGCAUUGUGGCUCCUUAUAACAUGACAUUCACUCCUGGUCCAUCAGCAAACUUCUGGGAAGCAGCCAGUCCUUGUUGAUACUGACACUUGUCCGUGUUUUUCUUACAAUCAAAGGCCAUCCUGGAUAGUUGAAGACACCACUACUUUCCAUACUGCUUUGAGCUGAGGAAGAUGCCAUGAAGGCAGCGACACAAGUGAACAUCCAAUUCUCCUCCUGUAUGAAGAAACCAGAAAUCACGUGUAUGCAAGGAUUUGUGCUGCUACAGGAGCACUGCUAUGCAGCAAACACAGUGAAGAGGGAGGAAGAGCCCUAAAGUGUGAGCUGCCAGCAAUAGGAAAAUAUGUGCUUCAGUAAACUACGCCCUCUUUUCUCCCUCCAGAUGACAGGAGCUGGUUAUUUCCUGACCCCUCCAUGCAGAAGGAAGAUAAGCAUUUUUCCAGAGCCCUGACUGCAGAGCUAAAGUCACCUUUAAUAAAUGAUACCCUUUUUAAGUCUGUGCAUUUGUACCACACAAUAUUUAAAAACUCUGCACUAUUAGUUUCCUCUAAUUCAGGAGGAAUAGGAAGUUGCUGUUUAUCUAUCCUGUCCAGACAGCUCUUCUAAGCUAGGGCAGAUAGAACACAGAUGAAACAUUUUUAGAAGGCAAACAUAUCCCAGCAAUUCUCCACAACAUAGUCUGUGGAGAAAAAAAUUGUUAUUUGCAAUUUCUCCACUGCUAUGCUGCAAAUACUCUAAAAUUGGUUGCUAUGAAGUUUAUUACUCAUCAUUCCCUUGAAUCAAAACCUUACAGCUUCUUAACAUCUAAAUGGACAAAAGAAAAGAAAGGUAACAUAGAAGUGAAGAGCACAGAAUCGUAGCUAAAGGGAUGGAGCUACAUGUGCACUGAAUCACAAAGGAAAAAUCACUCUGAAGAGAAUGCCUUGUCACACAAUAUCUGGUGCUGCUUGUUAUCAGCCCCAUCUCGCAAAACAGAACCAUAUACCAGAGGGAGACUGAAAGGAUAUACAAUUACUUGGACUGUUUUGAUGCUUUCCUGCUUAUGCUCAUUGCUAGACCAAAACCAAGACUUGUAAUUGUACUUUCUCCAAUCUCAUUCAGUCCAUACUUGAAAGCUGUUAUCUCUGUGUCUUGUAAGAAUGUAUAAAACCUCUGUUCCACUUCUGUUACACUUAUUUUUCACACUAGUUUUAUGCUUACUGAGA